UGGGGAAUCUUGGACAAUGGGGGCAACCCUGAUCCAGCGACGCCGCGUGGGUGGUAAGGCCUUCGGGUUGUAAAGCCCUUUCAGCGGGGAAGAUGAUGACAUUACCCGCAGAAGAAGCGCCGGCUAACUCCGUGCCAGCAGCCGCGGUAAGACGGAGGGCGCUAGCGUUGUUCGGAAUCACUGGGCGUAAAGGGCGCGUAGGCGGCUGUUUAAGUCGAGGGUGAAAGCCCGGGGCUCAACCCCGGAACGGCCUUCGAGACUGGCAGUCUAGAGUCCGAGAGAGGUGAGUGGAACUCCGAGUGUAGAGGUGAAAUUCGUAGAUAUUCGGAAGAACACCAGUGGCGAAGGCGGCUCACUGGCUCGGAACUGACGCUGAGGUGCGAAAGCGUGAGGAGCAAACAGGAUUAGAUACCCGCGUAGUCC
Molecule: ribosomal RNA, 423 nt
Filed under: uncultured prokaryote
Description: bacterial SSU rRNA
Rfam family: Bacterial small subunit ribosomal RNA
Source: RNAcentral